GCCCCCGUAGCUCAGUUGGUAGAGCAGCUCCCUUUUAAGGAGAAGGUCAGGGGUUCGAAUCCUCUCGGGGGCACAA
Molecule: transfer RNA, 76 nt
Filed under: Candidatus Parcubacteria bacterium
Lineage: Bacteria; Candidatus Parcubacteria
Description: tRNA-Lys
Rfam family: tRNA
About the family: Transfer RNA (tRNA) molecules are approximately 80 nucleotides in length. Their secondary structure includes four short double-helical elements and three loops (D, anti-codon, and T loops).
Source: RNAcentral